This 465-nucleotide ribosomal RNA is filed under the name uncultured bacterium. Its description in RNAcentral is "partial 16S ribosomal RNA". It matches the Rfam family "Bacterial small subunit ribosomal RNA", at positions 28 to 507 of the family's 1533-position model. The record is from RNAcentral.
GACGAACGCUGGCGGCGUGCUUAACACAUGCAAGUCGAACGGAAAGGCCCUGCUUGCAGGGUACUCGAGUGGCGAACGGGUGAGUAACACGUGGGUGAUCUGCCCUGCACUUCGGGAUAAGCCUGGGAAACUGGGUCUAAUACCGGAUAGGAGCCAUUUUUAGUGUGAUGGUUGGAAAGUUUUUUCGGUGUAGGAUGAGCUCGCGGCCUAUCAGCUUGUUGGUGGGGUAAUGGCCUACCAAGGCGGCGACGGGUAGCCGGCCUGAGAGGGUGGACGGCCACAUUGGGACUGAGAUACGGCCCAGACUCCUACGGGAGGCAGCAGUGGGGAUUAUUGCACAAUGGGCGCAAGCCUGAUGCAGCGACGCCGCGGGGGGGAUGACGGCCUUCGGGUUGUAAACUCCUUUCGCUAGGGACGAAGCUUUUUGUGACGGUACCUAGAUAAGAAGCACCGGCUAACUACGUG